RNAcentral lists this ribosomal RNA (412 nucleotides) under Verrucomicrobiota bacterium. RNAcentral describes it as "Verrucomicrobia bacterium partial 16S ribosomal RNA". It matches the Rfam family "Bacterial small subunit ribosomal RNA", at positions 355 to 776 of the family's 1533-position model. Lineage: Bacteria; Pseudomonadati; Verrucomicrobiota. The record is from RNAcentral.
UGGGGAAUAUUGCGCAAUGGGGGAAACCCUGACGCAGCGACGCCGCGUGCGGGAUGAAGGCCUUCGGGUUGUAAACCGCUUUUGAUUGGGAGCAAGCCUUUUGGGUGAGUGUACCUUUCGAAUAAGCGCCGGCUAACUACGUGCCAGCAGCCGCGGUAAUACGUAUGGAGCAAGCGUUAUCCGGAUUCAUUGGGCGUAAAGCGCUCGUAGGCGGUCUGUUAGGUCGGCAAGUUAAAUCCGGGGGCUCAACCCCCGUCCGCUUCCGAUACCGGCAGACUUGAGUUUGGUAGGGGAAGGUGGAAUUCCUAGUGUAGCGGUGGAAUGCGCAGAUAUUAGGAAGAACACCGGUGGCGAAGGCGGCCUUCUGGGCCAUAACUGACGCUGAGGAGCGAAAGCUAGGGGAGCGAACAGG